Molecule: ribosomal RNA, 739 nt
Filed under: Clathrina fjordica
Lineage: Eukaryota; Metazoa; Porifera; Calcarea; Clathrinida; Clathrinidae
Description: eukaryotic LSU rRNA
Rfam family: 5.8S ribosomal RNA (bases 261-414)
Source: RNAcentral
AGGAUCAUUAUCGAUUCGUAACACCUAAAUCACUGGUGCACUCGGUCGCUGCAUGGCAGCUCCUUUCGGGGUUGGCCGCAAGGUCAUUAAAUCGGGACGCACGGCCUCUAAGGCCGUGUUAGUUUCGGGCCCCGAUUGGAGUGUGCGUGCAGCGGUUUUUCACGGCCGUGCCUCGUGCGCGGCGUUCGUGAACCUUUCAACCAAGCAAAUUUGCAGACUGUACUGUUGGUCAAGCUUGUCUUGAUACUUCAAUCAUGGACAACUUUCAACGGUGGAUCUCUUGGCUCGUGGAUCGAUGAAGAACGCAGCAAAACGCGAUAUGUAGUGUGAAUUGCAGAAUUCAGUGAAUCAUCGAAUCUUUGAACGCAAAUGGCGCCCCUGGGUAUUCCCAGGAGCAUGUCUGUCUCAGCGUCGUUUUCACCUCGAGCACGCUUCGGCGUGGUGGUCUUGAGGCGUCUGGGCGCGCUCAGCUCCCAGUCCCUUGAAAUUCAGUGGCCGGACAGUGUGUGCUCUCGGGUCGGUUCGCCCCGAACUCGCUCGCACGGCUGAUGGUGAGAUUUCUUUUAAUCUCCCUUGUCGUGUCGCAGCGGACCGUGGGUGGAGCCUGAUUCCGAAACGGCCCUUUGUCCGAAUCAAGCCAGUUCUGGAAAACGAUAUCAAGUUUUUUGGUUCGCCGAAAAACAUCUUCGACCUGAGAUCAGGCAAGACUACCCGCUGAAUUUAAGCAUAUUAAUAAGCG